UUCGAAUUUCCUCACUGGUGAGCAGGGAGGCAUUGGCACUAGCAGAUAGGUUGGCACAAAAGAUAUGAUUCUUAUAUAUGGACUGGGGAAAUAUCCCAAAACAGAUUAUCCUGUCAACUGUUUUUCAAUGUGGAAUUUGUUCCUGAAAAAAAACUACGAGGAAAUGAUAUUCCCAGGGGAUUUAUGCUCACCUUGCCCUGGGAUGGCAACAAGAGCCCCUCCCGAGGAGGCAGUAAAGGAAAUCUCUUCAGCUAAGAACUUCUUGUUUCCAUUUCGCAUACGUUGAAAAGAUCUACAUGUGAGCGAUCUUGACUUGCAUGCAGAACUGUAUUUGCAAAACUAGCUUUUGGAGGAAUAAACUUGACUCACUGGAAAUGAUCCCAUGGAAAUUCAUUAGCAUUUCAAAACAACUAGCCACAAUGCAGACCUCCAAAAUUCUCUCAUGACAAAGCAGAUUACAAAAUCUUGUAACUCCUGGUGCUUCCAAUCAUCAGUACCACUUUUUGUUUCUGCCUUCCCUCUGCUAAGACCCUUCCCUGGAAUGUGCCCACUUGACAACGUGUAACUGAGAACAAGUGGUUUUAGCACUCACCUUUUUAAUCCAAGCACUUCCUAGUCCCGUGUAGUGACAAUUAAGUUGCAACUAACAGUUUUUAAUUUAGUUGAAUUUUUUUUUUAAUUUGAAUUAAAACCCAGGCCACAUCCUGC
Rhinolophus ferrumequinum (greater horseshoe bat) is the source of this 708-nucleotide long non-coding RNA. RefSeq lists it as uncharacterized. The record is from RefSeq and is a predicted model, not a curated record. The transcript has 3 exons. NCBI's taxonomy places the organism in Eukaryota, Metazoa, Chordata, Mammalia, Chiroptera, Rhinolophidae.